AUUGAACGCUGGCGGCAGGCCUAACACAUGCAAGUCGAGCGCGAAAGCACUUCGGUGUGAGUAGAGCGGCGGACGGGUGAGUAACGCGUAGGAAUCUACCUAGUAGUGGGGGACAACUCGGGGAAACUCGAGCUAAUACCGCAUAAGCCCUACGGGGGAAAGCGGGGGACCUUCGGGCCUCGUGCUAUUAGAUGAGCCUGCGUUGGAUUAGCUAGUUGGUGGGGUAAAGGCCUACCAAGGCGACGAUCCAUAGCUGGUCUGAGAGGAUGAUCAGCCACACCGGGACUGAGACACGGCCCGGACUCCUACGGGAGGCAGCAGUGGGGAAUAUUGCGCAAUGGGCGAAAGCCUGACGCAGCCAUGCCGCGUGUGUGAAGAAGGCCUUCGGGUUGUAAAGCACUUUCAAUUGGGAGGAAAGGUUCACGGUUAAUAACCGUGAGCUGUGACGUUACCUUUAGAAGAAGCACCGGCUAACUCCGUGCCAGCAGCCGCGGUAAUACGGAGGGUGCGAGCGUUAAUCGGAAUUACUGGGCGUAAAGCGCGCGUAGGUGGUCUGUUAAGUCGGAUGUGAAAGCCCCGGGCUCAACCUGGGAACUGCAUUCGAUACUGGCAGACUAGAGUGCGAGAGAGGGAGGUAGAAUUCCAUGUGUAGCGGUGAAAUGCGUAGAUAUGUGGAGGAAUACCAGUGGCGAAGGCGGGCCUCCUGGCUCGACACUGACACUGA
RNAcentral lists this ribosomal RNA (724 nucleotides) under bacterium IMCC11463. RNAcentral's name for it is "bacterial SSU rRNA". It matches the Rfam family "Bacterial small subunit ribosomal RNA", at positions 28 to 749 of the family's 1533-position model. The record is from RNAcentral.